UAACUGGGAAUCAAAGUGGUUUAUUCCAGAAAUGUCAAUAUACACUUUUUUUUUCCCCAGUAUAUAUCACAUCUUAACACAAUAUAUUACUUUGGGCAAUUAAUACAUUUCCUUCCUCUAAAGACAAGCAUGCAGAGGAGAAUGUAGGUAACUGUUUAUCACAGGGUAUACACUCUUGUGAGUGGCCCAAAUUGUGCAAACAAGGAGGUAAAAAAACAACAGCCUGGCUGGGCGCAGUGGCUCAUGUCUGUAAUCCCAGCACUUUGGGAGGCCGAGGCGGGCGGAUCACCUGAGGUCAGGAGUUCAAGACCAGCCUGGCCAACAUGUGAAACCCUGUCUCUACUAAAAAUAAAAAAUUAGCUGGUUGUGGGGGCAUGUGCCUGUAAUCCCAGUUACUUGGGAGGCUGAGGCAGGAGAAUCGCUUGAACCUGGGAGGUGGAGGUUCUGCAGUGAGCCAAGAUCAUGCCACUGCACUCCAGCCUGGCGACAGAGUGAGACUCCAUCGCAAAGACAAAAAACAAACAAAAAAAACGACAGCCUACAGUAAGUCUUACCUCGGCUCUCCUGCCCUGGGAGCAGGAAGGCAUCUUUCCGUGGCAAAUAGCACCCGUCAAGACCCCAAACCUUCCUCUACUGCAGCACCCCAGGGAAUUUCACAGCUGAAAAUGCUUUGUGCCGGGCGCGGUAGCUCAUACCUGUAAUCCCAGCACUUUGGGAGGCCAAGGCAGGUGGAUCACCUGAGGUCAGGAGUUCGAGACCAGCCUGGCCAACAUGGUGAAACCUCGUCUCUACUAAAAAUACAAACAAUUAGCUGGGCGUUGUGGCAGGUUGCUCAUUUAACCCUCAAAUGUACCAAUCUGGGCCAGUGCAGUGGCUCAUGCCUGUCACCCCAGCAUAUUUGAAGGCUGAGGCAGGAAAACUGAGGCCAAGAGCUUGAGACCAGCCUAUAGGCAACAUAGUGAGACUCUGUCCCUUAUUAAAACAAAAAAAGCACCAAUCUGGUGGGAGGCAUGGUCAUCUUCAGUGUCCCCAUCUUACUGAAGAAGUAAUGGAGGUACAAACAGGGAGGGACCUGCCCGAGGUCCAGCAGGCUGGUGGGGAGCUGGGAUCAGAAACCCCACGUGGACAACGUGGUGGCCUCCGCCUCUAAGUGCUAAGGAGGCACUUGCUGGGUCGUUUGAACCCACCUGCUGCUGCGCUCCCAAAACUUCCCAUGGGACCAGGCCUCCCCUCUGCAGCCAAAGUUCCUUUAGAUGAUGAGAGGCUACACACUCAGACACAUGGCCGGCGGGCACAGGAACCACAGAGUAUGUGGUCACCUUGGCGUGUAUCUAUUUAUAGCCAUACACAACAGGGUCUUAAGCAGUCACCAUUCAAAAAAUAUGUGGUCAAGAACUAAACCAAACAAACCUGGAUGAUCCUAGGCCAAAACAAUUCCUUUCCAGGCACACAGGCCCAGCAGAGACAAAACCAGAUAUUCAUUCAUCACACACACAAGUCUUCCAGAAACUGACUUUGUCACAUUUCAGCAGAUGGAAACAGCCUUUACUUCCCCGAGAGGGUCCCAUCCCCUGAAGGGUUCAACAGAAAAUGUCCUUUCCUGUUGUUCCAUAGUGCCUACUGACAUCGCUAGAUUCCUUUGUCACCAUGCUUGACAUACCUGGAUGCCCUGCUGAGGUCACUUCGAAUGCUCUCAUCAACGAGGGGCAGGAAGAAAAUAGUGGUUGCUGCAUGUUUUCAGCCAAUCGUCGGGGGAUAUUUCUCAUUUUCUGUUGAAACUUGCGAUGGGAGAAGCCGUCCCCGAAAUCCCGGGCGCCGUGGAGGGGGUCUGGUCUCUGGGUCUCUGGUCACCCGGUCAGUGCCUCCAGCCCCCGGCAGAGCUCUGUUAUCGUCCCGGGGCGAGCCCAAUUCCGCAGGCUAGGGCCGAUGGCGGCGGAACUGUGGUCAGGGCUGCCCUGAGUCAUCCUGCGGACUGCGAGUCGGCGACCACCAGGAGGCGA
This 2000-nucleotide long non-coding RNA is filed under the name Homo sapiens (human). RNAcentral describes it as "non-protein coding lnc-SRSF2-6:1". The record is from RNAcentral. Lineage: Eukaryota; Metazoa; Chordata; Mammalia; Primates; Hominidae.